This 428-nucleotide ribosomal RNA is filed under the name uncultured prokaryote. RNAcentral's name for it is "bacterial SSU rRNA". It matches the Rfam family "Bacterial small subunit ribosomal RNA", at positions 355 to 796 of the family's 1533-position model. The record is from RNAcentral.
UGGGGAAUUUUCCGCAAUGGGGGCAACCCUGACGGAGCAACGCCGCGUGGGGGAGGAAUGUCUGUGGGUUGUAAACCUCUUUUCUCAGGGAAGAAGAAAGUGACGGUACCUGAGGAAUCAGCCUCGGCUAACUCCGUGCCAGCAGCCGCGGUAAUACGGAGGAGGCAAGCGUUAUCCGGAAUUAUUGGGCGUAAAGCGUCCGCAGGUGGUUUUUCAAGUCCGCUGUCAAAGACCGGAGCUUAACUCCGGAGAGGCAGUAGAAACUGAGGAACUAGAGACCGGUAGGGGUAGAGGGAAUUCCCAGUGUAGCGGUGAAAUGCGUAGAGAUUGGGAAGAACACCAGUGGCGAAAGCGCUCUACUGGGCCGGUACUGACACUCACAGGACGAAAGCUAGGGGAGCGAAAGGGAUUAGAUACCCCUGUAGUCC